UACAGAGGUCCCAAGCGUUGUUCGGAUUUACUGGGCGUAAAGCGUGUGUAGGCGGCUUCGCAAGUUGGAUGUGAAAUCCCACGGCUCAACCGUGGACGUGCAUCCAAAACUGCGUCGCUAGAGUCUCGGAGAGGAAGGUGGAAUGCUUGGUGUAGAGGUGAAAUUCGUAGAUAUCAAGCAGAACACCUGCGGCGAAGGCGGCCUUCUGGACGAUGACUGACGCUGAGACACGAAAGCGUGGGGAGCAAACAGG
This 253-nucleotide ribosomal RNA is filed under the name uncultured bacterium. Its description in RNAcentral is "partial 16S ribosomal RNA". It matches the Rfam family "Bacterial small subunit ribosomal RNA", at positions 524 to 776 of the family's 1533-position model. The record is from RNAcentral.